GUCGAACGGUAACAGGUCUUCGGAUGCUGACGAGUGGCGAACGGGUGAGUAAUACAUCGGAACGUGCCCGAUCGUGGGGGAUAACGAGGCGAAAGCUUUGCUAAUACCGCAUACGAUCUACGGAUGAAAGCGGGGGAUCUUCGGACCUCGCGCGGACGGAGCGGCCGAUGGCAGAUUAGGUAGUUGGUGGGAUAAAAGCUUACCAAGCCGACGAUCUGUAGCUGGUCUGAGAGGAUGAUCAGCCACACUGGGACUGAGACACGGCCCAGACUCCUACGGGAGGCAGCAGUGGGGAAUUUUGGACAAUGGGCGAAAGCCUGAUCCAGCCAUGCCGCGUGCAGGAUGAAGGCCUUCGGGUUGUAAACUGCUUUUGUACGGAACGAAAAGCCUCUUUCUAAUAAAGAGGGGUCAUGACGGUACCGUAAGAAUAAGCACCGGCUAACUACGUGCCAGCAGCCGCGGUAAUACGUAGGGUGCAAGCGUUAA
This 486-nucleotide ribosomal RNA is filed under the name uncultured bacterium. RNAcentral describes it as "bacterial SSU rRNA". It matches the Rfam family "Bacterial small subunit ribosomal RNA", at positions 61 to 543 of the family's 1533-position model. The record is from RNAcentral.